Molecule: small nucleolar RNA, 68 nt
Organism: Cololabis saira (Pacific saury)
Lineage: Eukaryota; Metazoa; Chordata; Actinopteri; Beloniformes; Belonidae
Product: small nucleolar RNA SNORD30
Exons: 1
Source: RefSeq, a predicted model, not a curated record
GAAAAUGAUGAGUCACUUGGAAUCUCGUUCGUCUGAACAACUGUUGAGAAACGGAAUCUCUGACAUCA